UGAUGACAUCAGACUUGAUUUAUCCACCAUUUUGUUGUAAGCAGUCGGCAGAAAAAUUCUGACUCACUGGCAUCUGAUAUUUUGUAAAUAGAACAGGAAUUUCAGGUGUAAUAACAAAAUGUCAGGAGCACCAGAAGGACAACCACCUAGAGACAUGCAGAGUAAACGCAUGCAGCAAACACAGGCACAGGUUGACGAGGUGGUAGAUAUAAUGAGAGUAAAUGUUGACAAGGUGCUUGAAAGAGAUCAGAAAAUCUCA
Molecule: long non-coding RNA, 259 nt
Organism: Patella vulgata (common limpet)
Lineage: Eukaryota; Metazoa; Mollusca; Gastropoda; Patellidae
Exons: 3
Source: RefSeq, a predicted model, not a curated record